Molecule: non-coding RNA, 262 nt
Organism: Pelobates cultripes (western spadefoot toad)
Lineage: Eukaryota; Metazoa; Chordata; Amphibia; Anura; Pelobatidae
Source: the annotation of a GenBank genome assembly
GUAUGUCUGUAUGUCUGUGUGUGUGUGUGUGUGUGUAUUUCUACUCCGUCUAGGAGAACUUCCUGUCAGACCAGGUAGAGCAGAGGAGCCGACACUAUUUAUAUGAUCAGCUCAACAAAAUCUACCAACUAAAAAACCCACCCAUUUUCUUACAUACAUUAAUAUUCCUAUUGCGACUACUGCAUGUAUCGUUGUAUUGAAUUUAUCUAAAAAAAUUAACAAAAACCCUGUCACCGCCUUCUAAAAGCCCUGCCCAGCUCCU